CACUAUUCUCUAAAAUCCAUUUGCAUAUGAACUUCAAAACUCAUAUUCGACAAACUGGCAAAUCCGGCAGUUGAUAGAAGAAUCGACCCUUCGCCAACAAAAUUAUUUUCAUAAAUCCUUGCUUCCAAAGAAAAACCCAUACGUCGGAAUAUUUCUAUAAACAAGUUAAAAACCAUAGUCACUAAAAAUGUAUCCAAGAAACUAUUAAAGCCACAAACAGUUCCUUAUUUUAUCCAUUUCAAGGCACCAGAACAUUAUGGGUUAUAUUGCUCAGUCGAUCGUCACUUCUUUUUUGAAAGUUGGCUUAUUUCACAACAUACACAUCUCGAAUAACCUCAAUUCCUAUCUGAAUUCGAUGAAUAAAAAUGAAGAAGAAUGCAAAGAUUUGGUCGCAAAAGUUUUAAUCCAUUACCAAGAAAUUACCAAGAGAAACCAAAUUAGUCAAUUCUAAUGCUUUCUCCACCAUGGCCAACCUCUUUCAACCGCAGUUUGCUUUGAAUUUUCGGGUUCAGACUCCCUACGACUUUCCCACUAGCUAAGAACUCAGUGGGAGAAUUUUUACUAGAAGAACAAUCCCACAUAAUUGAAUUGGUGAAGGUUGAAAUUAGAAGUGGAGAAAGAGACAUGUAGCAAGCCAUG
Molecule: long non-coding RNA, 639 nt
Filed under: Olea europaea subsp. europaea
Lineage: Eukaryota; Viridiplantae; Streptophyta; Magnoliopsida; Lamiales; Oleaceae
Source: RNAcentral